UUGUGUAGGUUGCCAUAACUUUAGUUGGUGACCUAAUCUUGACUUUGUACAAUCUAAAACUCCAGCAACUCAGCCUAAUUCAGCAGCUAGGUAAGCAACAUACAUUGUAUUUAUAUAAUAUAGGAGAUUAAAGAGAGAGAAAGCCACUUACAUUUUCAUUUUCAACCAAGCCCUUCUCUCUCUAGAAAUUCGGGAGUUAGAAAGAUAAAAAGUGAUGAGAUGAAGCAUGAUCAGUUCAUAGCAACUUAAGAACAGAAUCAGAAGUCAGAAAACCAAGAUCAAAGCUUAAAGGUAUAAGAACCCUAAUUUUAAAAAUUCUUAGAUUUGAUGUUAAAUAUUGUAAGUUGUUGUUGAAAGUUGUGUAUUAGGGUGUCUAUAAGUGAUCUGGGUUGAUAGAUCAUGGAUCUAUAACAUCUAGAUGCACGAAUUUAAUGUUUUCUAAAAUCUGGAAAUCUGGAAAAUUCUUGUCUGACAGUCAAAUGUCAGACAUCAUAGAUCGGUGUCUGUUAGUUGUUUUUGUGUUUUGACUGUUUGUAUUGAUAGUAUGUUAUCUGGUCUUUACUCUGAAACUCUAAGCAAGUCC
This 583-nucleotide long non-coding RNA is filed under the name Panax ginseng (ginseng). Its description in RNAcentral is "long non-coding RNA (PGIN_LNC000818)". Lineage: Eukaryota; Viridiplantae; Streptophyta; Magnoliopsida; Apiales; Araliaceae. The record is from RNAcentral.